CAUAGACGCGAAACCUAGUGAUCUAGGCCUGUCCAGGCUGAAGCUGAGGUAAGACUCAGUGGAGGGCCGAACUCACCGCCGUUGAAAAGUUGGGAGAUGAGGCAGGUUUAGGGGUGAAAAGCCAAUCGAACUAGGAGAUAGCUCGUUCUCUCCGAAAUGCAUUUAGGUGCAGCCUUGAACUGAGAUAUGUGGGGGUAGAGCUCUGUAUGAUCUAGGGGGCGUACUGCUUACCGAAAUCAAGCAAACUUCGAAUACCAUAUAUUAAUAGUCAGGAGUGAGUCCGCGGAUGACAAGGUCCGCGGACGAGAGGGGAACAGCCCAGACCGCCAGCUAAGGUCCCUAAUUAUGUCUAAGUGGGAAAGGAGGUGGAUAUUCACAGACAACCAGGAGGUUGGCUUAGAAGCAGCCAUACCUUGAAAGAGUGCGUAACAGCUCACUGGUCGAGAGUAUCUGCGCCGAAGAUGUAACGGGGCUAAGACAUAAACCGAAGCUGCGGAGGCGUGUCUGCACGCCUGGUAGGAGAGCGUUCUGUAGGCCGUUGAAGGAAUGCCGCAAGGCCGUUCUGGAGGUAUCAGAAGUGAGAAUGCAGGAAUGAGUAGCGAGAAGGCGGGCGAGAAUCCCGCCGGCCGGAAGUCCAAGGUUUCCAGGGGAAGGUUUGUCCGCCCUGGGGGAGUCGGGACCUAAGCAUAAGCAAAAAUGUGAUGGCGAAUGGAAAACAGGUUAAUAUUCCUGUACCACUAUUAUCGCUUGAGAGACGGAGUGACGCAGGAAGGUAUGUGAGAAGGCUGACGGUUUAGCCUUUCUAAGGGCCCAGCGUGGGCGUGCAGGUAAAUCCGCACGCCUAAACGUGAGACCUGACGGGGAAGUGCAUUUGCAUAAGUCGCAGAUCCUACACUGCCAGGAAAAACUUCUAUCGAUGAGAAGCAGCGCCCGUACUGUAAACCGACACAGGUGGACAGAGUGAGAAACUUAAGGCCGACAGGAUAACUCUAGCUAAGGAACUCUGCAAAAUAGCCCCGUAACUUCGGGAGAAGGGGUGCCUGACAUACCUGAAGAGAGAGACGCUCCCAGGGGAAACAGGCCGCAGUGAAGAGUCUCAAGCAACUGUUUACCAAAAACACAGGUCUAUGCUAAGCUGAAAGGCGACGUAUAUGGGCUGACACCUGCCCAGUGCCGGAAGGUUAAGAGGAGGAGUGAGAGCUCCGAAUUGAAGCCCCGGUGAACGGCGGCCGUAACUAUAACGGUCCUAAGGUAGCGAAAUUCCUUGUCGGGU
RNAcentral lists this ribosomal RNA (1273 nucleotides) under human oral metagenome. Its description in RNAcentral is "bacterial LSU rRNA". It matches the Rfam family "Bacterial large subunit ribosomal RNA", at positions 708 to 1977 of the family's 2925-position model. The record is from RNAcentral.